RNAcentral lists this long non-coding RNA (960 nucleotides) under Ictidomys tridecemlineatus (thirteen-lined ground squirrel). Its description in RNAcentral is "lncRNA (ENSSTOG00000032911.1)". Lineage: Eukaryota; Metazoa; Chordata; Mammalia; Rodentia; Sciuridae. The record is from RNAcentral.
UCGGAGACAAGAGAGAAGGCCCGUGUUAAAUGGACAAGGGCUCAUCCUUGCAACCAAAAGCAACCGGCAGAAAAAGGAGGCCUGGAGCCCACCCCUCCUCCAGAACGCCUUAGAUAUGAGCUGGGAGGCCCAGCCUUGGGGAUAGAGCUCAAAGAGCUCAAUUCUUCAAGAUCUGGCAUAAAUGCAUGUUAUCAAAUAAAAAAUUACUACUGCCUCUGCAGACUUUUAGUCCUACUCAAAAAGUGUUCACUCCUUAAUAUCCAUUCUUGUAGAAAGACACAAAGAAGCAACGUCACGUGUGCAUGGCCCAUUUAUAAGGAAGUCAGGUCAAAGAGCUCAGGUCAGGUAGCGUGUCCACCAUCACUUGCAAAGCAGGGACUCAGUUACAGCUCCCAAUUACUUAAAUGCCACCACCCAAACAACCUGACGCUCCCUAAUGGCCUAACAGGAGUGGUUGGGGGGCUGGAGGGGCAGAGGUCUAGAGAGCUGGACCCAAUUCCCCCACAAGCCCUCCGUCGAGCUUUCCAACUCGACCCAAGCUUGCGCACCUCGCCACCCGCCAAACAGCCCCUGGUGAUCACCAAGUUUCAUUACUACAAAUGUGCUUUCCGCCAAAGGGAACGAAAGCCACAAUGCUCCUGGCGAGUCCCAGGCCCUCAGUGGAUGUCCUCUGUGACCCCACGAAGGGUUUGUGGGCCACUGUGGGUGCACCGCCCCCAGUCACGGCACUGCAGCCCCUUCCGCCUGUCACGGCCUUCUGGUUAUCUCCCGGGGCCGACGCUGCGUCCCCAGGUCGGGGGUUCUCAGGGCUGCCCCCCCCCACACACACACACACACAGGCCCUGCAGUCUGGCCUGUCUGGCAGCCGGGCACGGCCGGGUCAAUCUGCUCCUGGCUUUCUGCCAUUCAGGACACAGGUGAAGAGGAGGGCUGGUGGCUUCCAGUUAGCCUUCAUUUUAU